GACGAACGCUGGCGGCGUGCUUAACACAUGCAAGUCGAACGGAAAGGCCCGGCGUUUGUGGGGUGCUCGAGUGGCGAACGGGUGAGUAACACGUGAGUAACAUGCCCUUGACUGUGGGAGAACAUCAGGAAACUGGGGCUAAUACCGGAGAGGAGCUCCUGCUGCAUGGUGGGGGUUGGAAAGUGUCGGCGGUGGGGGAUGGACUCGCGGCUUAUCAGCUUGUUGGUGGGGUAGUGGCUUACCAAGGCUUUGACGGGUAGCCGGCCUGAGAGGGUGACCGGCCACAUUGGGACUGAGAUACGGCCCAGACUCCUACGGGAGGCAGCAGUGGGGAAUCUUGCACAAUGGGCGGAAGCCUGAUGCAGCAACGCCGCGUGCGGGAUGACGGCCUUCGGGUUGUAAACCGCUUUCGCCUGUGACGAAGCGUGAGUGACGGUAAUGGGUCAAGAAGCACCGGCUAACUACGUG
RNAcentral lists this ribosomal RNA (468 nucleotides) under uncultured bacterium. RNAcentral's name for it is "partial 16S ribosomal RNA". It matches the Rfam family "Bacterial small subunit ribosomal RNA", at positions 28 to 507 of the family's 1533-position model. The record is from RNAcentral.